GCCCGUGUGGCGAAAUUGGUCAUCGCACCCGACUUUUACGUAAACACGUUCAAGGCCCAAUCGGGCGGUUGCGGGUUCGAGCCCCGCCAUGGGCU
Kwoniella heveanensis BCC8398 is the source of this 95-nucleotide transfer RNA. It matches the Rfam family "tRNA". Rfam says of the family: Transfer RNA (tRNA) molecules are approximately 80 nucleotides in length. Their secondary structure includes four short double-helical elements and three loops (D, anti-codon, and T loops). Lineage: Eukaryota; Fungi; Basidiomycota; Tremellomycetes; Tremellales; Cryptococcaceae. The record is from Rfam.